Molecule: unclassified non-coding RNA, 321 nt
Filed under: Zea mays
Lineage: Eukaryota; Viridiplantae; Streptophyta; Magnoliopsida; Poales; Poaceae
Description: misc RNA Zm00001eb240880
Source: RNAcentral
AGAAAAUGAAAUCCCAAACACCAAAACCCAAUGCGCGCGCGGGAGUAUGCAGAGCAGUCUCCGAAUCCGACCGCCACACCGCGUACCAAUCCAACCCCACCGAAGAAUCCCCGUCCAUCGAAGACGGUCGGUUGCAGCAAUCACCAUUCACCUACCUGGAGGAGGAGAGGGCGGAGGUGGGGCGCGGCCGGCAAGAACGACGCGUCGACGGGCACGGGCGGGCGGGCAGGAAGGAUCUGAGAUUUUGGGGUCCUGUCCCGUUCCCGUCCCGAGCCCCCGCACGGCUCGGUCUUCGGUCUUCCUGCCCUCCUCGCCGACCUG